AAGGAAAGCUUGCUUCUUUCAAAUCUAGUGGCAAACGGGUGAGUAACACGUAAACAACCUGCCUUCAGGAUGGGGACAACAGUUAGAAAUGACUGCUAAUACCGCAUAAGCGCACAGUACCGCAUGGUACAGUGUGAAAAACUCCGGUGGUGUGAGAUGGAUCCGCGUCUGAUUAGCCAGUUGGCGGGGUAACGGCCCACCAAAGCGACGAUCAGUAGCCGACCUGAGAGGAUGAACGGCCACACUGGAACUGAGACACGGUCCAGACUCC
RNAcentral lists this ribosomal RNA (271 nucleotides) under uncultured Eubacteriales bacterium. RNAcentral describes it as "uncultured Clostridiales bacterium partial 16S ribosomal RNA". It matches the Rfam family "Bacterial small subunit ribosomal RNA", at positions 71 to 339 of the family's 1533-position model. The record is from RNAcentral. Lineage: Bacteria; Bacillati; Bacillota; Clostridia; Eubacteriales.